UUUAUCGGAGAGUUUGAUCCUGGCUCAGGACGAACGCUGGCGGCGUGCCUAAUACAUGCAAGUCGAGCGGACAGAUGGGAGCUUGCUCCCUGAUGUUAGCGGCGGACGGGUGAGUAACACGUGGGUAACCUGCCUGUAAGACUGGGAUAACUCCGGGAAACCGGGGCUAAUACCGGAUGGUUGUCUGAGCCGCAUGGUUCAGACAUAAAA
Molecule: ribosomal RNA, 210 nt
Filed under: Bacillus velezensis
Lineage: Bacteria; Bacillati; Bacillota; Bacilli; Caryophanales; Bacillaceae
Description: partial 16S ribosomal RNA
Rfam family: Bacterial small subunit ribosomal RNA
Source: RNAcentral